RNAcentral lists this ribosomal RNA (484 nucleotides) under uncultured bacterium. RNAcentral's name for it is "partial 16S ribosomal RNA". It matches the Rfam family "Bacterial small subunit ribosomal RNA", at positions 30 to 507 of the family's 1533-position model. The record is from RNAcentral.
AUUGAACGCUGGCGGCAUGCCUAACACAUGCAAGUCGAGCGGAUGAAGGGAGCUUGCUCCUGGAUUCAGCGGCGGACGGGUGAGUAAUGCCUAUGAAUCUGCCUGGUAGUGGGGUAUAACGUCCUGAAACGGGCGCUAAUACUGCAUACGUCCUGAGGGAGCAAGUGGGGGGUCUUCGGACCUCACGCUAUCAGAGGAGCCUAGGUCGGAUUAGCUAGUUGGUGGGGUAAAGGCCUACCAAGGCGACGAUCCGUAACUGGUCUGAGAGGAGGAUCAGUCACACUGGAACUGAGACACGGACAUGACUCCUACGGGAGGCAGCAGUGGGGAAUAUUGGACAAUGGGCGAAAGCCUGAUACAGCGAUGCCGCGUGUGUGAAGAAGGUCUUCGGAUUGUAAAGCACUUUAAGUUGGGAGGAAGGGCAGUAAGUUAAUACCUUGCUGUUUUGACGUUACCAACAGAAUAAGCACCGGCUAACUUCGUG